AUUCUCCUAAUUUUAGAUUAUCCGAUAAAAUUGGAACUAAACAAAGAAGAUUAGCAUGGCCCCUGCGCAAGGAUAAAUCGAGAAAUGGUUUAGAUUACA
This is a small nuclear RNA of Salvia miltiorrhiza (redroot sage), 99 nucleotides long. NCBI's taxonomy places the organism in Eukaryota, Viridiplantae, Streptophyta, Magnoliopsida, Lamiales, Lamiaceae. The record is from RefSeq and is a predicted model, not a curated record.